RNAcentral lists this ribosomal RNA (1032 nucleotides) under uncultured Streptococcus sp. RNAcentral's name for it is "partial 16S ribosomal RNA". The stretch from base 12 to 531 matches the Rfam family "Bacterial small subunit ribosomal RNA", at positions 39 to 535 of the family's 1533-position model. Lineage: Bacteria; Bacillati; Bacillota; Bacilli; Lactobacillales; Streptococcaceae. The record is from RNAcentral.
GAUGAAAGCUCGCGGCGGGCUUAACACAUGCAUGUCGAACUCACGCACUUUAAAAGUUUGGUCUUUAACCAAGUGGGUGGCGGACGGGUGAGUAACCCUUGCGUAACCUGCCCAUUAUAGGGGGAUAACAUUCAGAAACGGAUGCUUUUACGACGAGGUUUCCGGGAUCCCAUGAUUCUUGAAGGAAAGGUGGGUCCAGCUACCACUAAUGGAUGGACCCGCGGCGUACUCCCUACCUGGCGAGGUAAUGGCUCACCAAGGGGCUAUUGCCAACAUGGACCUGAGGGGGUGAUCGGCCCCGCUUAGACAGAAACGCGGCCCCACCUCCUACGGGAGGCAUCCGUAGGGAAUCUUCCUCUUCGAAAUAAGGUCUGACGGACCAACGCCGCGUCAUCGCAGCACGUCUUUUGUCUGCAGAACUCUAUUGUGCAAUCAGAACAAGGAUGAAAGUAACUGCUCUUUCCUGGACGUUAUUUAACCAGCAAGCCACGGCUCACUACUUGACGGCGGCAGCGAUAAUAGAUAUGAGGCUUGGGUUGUGGGGAUUUUUUGGGCGGGUGUCAAGCACAUGCGGUGCGUUCCAUCUACUGUGGGUCCCAUCCGCUCUGCGAAGAAUGGUCGUAUUUAUCUGUCUGCGAGAUAGGUCACGUUGAUGUAGAUGGGCGCAUAGUGCCGUGCAUCUACCAGUUUAAAGGGGACAACGACAGUAUCGGCCUCAGGAAGAUCGCACUCCAGCCAGCUUUCCGGCACGCUUCUGGUGCCGGAUACCACGCAUGCGCACUUCGGCAGUCCAGCUGCUCAUCUGUUGGGAGGGGCGAUCGAUGCGAGCCACUACGGCCAGUGAAUCCGUAAUCAUGGUCAUACCUGUCUCCCGCCAGUUUAUCGUUGACGUGAGCUCAGUACCAAUACUUAUAGCACGAUUUCGCUGGCAUAUCAUGGUAGUCACACGUUCGACGCAGCGGGGGCUCGUUUUGACUGUGAUCAAUAGAGAGGUUACCUCACUCCUGUAGUAAGCAAUCAAUCUAUGACAUG